Molecule: long non-coding RNA, 629 nt
Organism: Lineus longissimus
Lineage: Eukaryota; Metazoa; Nemertea; Pilidiophora; Heteronemertea; Lineidae
Exons: 3
Source: RefSeq, a predicted model, not a curated record
GGAAGGAUUGCGAAAUCAAUCCAUGUCUUUCCAUAGCUGCGGCUACAUGUACACGCAUACAAUACAUGCAUACAAUGUAUGUAUGCUGUACUCCCACAUUUCUGUCAAUGCUAAAAACAACGACAAAUAAACAAUAAAGCCCGGGAAUGGAGUAAAGUGCCCGGAUGGUGUGACGCGAAAUGUAUUGUCUUCGGUCAUGAUCGGUCGCGGUUGAUUUGAACGCCAGUCAGUUGGAGUGUGAACUGCGUAGAAGAUCGCAGGAACACUUUCUCCGAUUUCAAACACAAAUUUGCCUUCAGUUUUUGAAAGACAAGUCGAAAUAGAAGAGGAAUGUUUAGUUCCAUGAGCCCAACACAUGCAUGAGGUGUGGAAGCGAGAAUGAUUAGUGUCAGUCUUAUUGACAAGGUGGCAGUUCCCAGUUUAUACAGGGUCCUUGACCGACUGACCCCGGCAUCCUCCCAUCGAUGCAUACAAGCCGCCUGUCCGGCUCCUACCCACGUGACAAGACCGCCAUGAUGGAGACUGAAAAUCACUCUGGACAAAUAAAGAGUGGUGAUAAAUCAGGAUCAACAGUUGUAACAGAUGCCCACAGAAGGGAAUGUUUUAAUGCGUUUUUUUAUCUCUGAUUU